RNAcentral lists this ribosomal RNA (257 nucleotides) under uncultured bacterium. RNAcentral's name for it is "partial 16S ribosomal RNA". It matches the Rfam family "Bacterial small subunit ribosomal RNA", at positions 524 to 777 of the family's 1533-position model. The record is from RNAcentral.
UACGAAGGGGGCUAGCGUUGCUCGGAAUCACUGGGCUUAAAGCGUGUGUAGGCGGAUCGUUAAGUACCUUGUGAAAAUCCCACGGCUCAACCGUGGAACUGCUGGGUAUACUGGCGAUCUUGAGCCACCUAGGGGCGAGCGGAACAAGCGGUGGAGCGGUGAAAUGCGUAGAUAUCAUUUGGAACGCCAAUGUGAAAAACAGCUCGCUGGGGGGUGUGCUGACGCUGAGACACGAAAGCCAGGGGGAGCGAAACGGG